GUGGAUUAGAUACCCUGGUAGUCCACGCCGUAAACGAUGGAUGCUAGCCGUUGGCGAGCUUGCUCGUCAGUGGCGCAGCUAACGCAUUAAGCAUCCCGCCUGGGGAGUACGGUCGCAAGAUUAAAACUCAAAGGAAUUGACGGGGGCCCGCACAAGCGGUGGAGCAUGUGGUUCAAUUCGAAGCAACGCGCAGAACCUUACCAACCCUUGACAUGUCCAGUAUGGGUUUCAGAGAUGAGACCCUUCAGUUCGGCUGGCUGGAACACAGGUGCUGCCCGUUCGUCGACAGCU
This 291-nucleotide ribosomal RNA is filed under the name uncultured bacterium. RNAcentral describes it as "partial 16S ribosomal RNA". It matches the Rfam family "Bacterial small subunit ribosomal RNA", at positions 773 to 1060 of the family's 1533-position model. The record is from RNAcentral.